This 275-nucleotide ribosomal RNA is filed under the name uncultured bacterium. Its description in RNAcentral is "partial 16S ribosomal RNA". It matches the Rfam family "Bacterial small subunit ribosomal RNA", at positions 338 to 608 of the family's 1533-position model. The record is from RNAcentral.
CCUACGGGGGGCUGCAGUCGAGGAUCUUCGGCAAUGGGCGCAAGCCUGACCGAGCGACGCCGCGUGCGGGAUGAAGGCCUUCGGGUUGUAAACCGCUGUCGGAGGGGAGGAAAUAUUAGGGGGUUCUCCCCCUAGUUUGACCUAUCCUCGGAGGAAGUACGGGCUAAGUUCGUGCCAGCAGCCGCGGUAAGACGAACCGUACGAACGUUAUUCGGAAUCACUGGGCUUAAAGGGUGCGUAGGCGGCGCAGAAAGUUGGGUGUGAAAUCCCUCGGC